CUUCGAUAUUUCGUAUACUUGUCCCUAGAAUACACAGACUUGUCCAACUUGUCUGUCCAGACAAGUCCAGAUUGUUAUAUUUUUCACAGUUGUGGUCAUUGUGAAGGAAUGUAUGAUCAAGAAGAGUGGGGAAAAGCAAACUCCUUUCUAAUCUUGGAGGAUGGAGAAGAGAAGAGAAACAGGAAAUGAGAUGGAAGGAGGAAAGAUGUCAGGCAAGGAGGUGUCUCCAUGUCUCUUCCUGAGACUCCAGCCCACGUAAAGGGGGUAUCUCGACCCCAGUCUUGUCCUCCGAAUCAAUAGUACAGUGCCUCAAAAAGCCCUCAGAACCACGUCUGCCUGCCAAGGCAAAAGCAGAUACAAAAGAAGAGAAGUCACAUGGCGUUAUCUCCAAAAGACUCUGCUUAUCUUGAAUACUUGAAAAACAGAAUGAGUCUUGAUGAGGAAGAAUUACAGUCUUAGCAUAUUCAGGACGCCCUGGCUACCUCAGUAAGGCAUGUUGAAUAGGGCAUCUGGUGAGAGAUGGUGAAUCCUUGAAGCAGCCACUGUUCAUCUUGCUCCCACCACAUGGAAGCCACUAUAAUAGACAUUCAGACAAAUAAAGAGGAAGAUCGAUA
Long non-coding RNA from Panthera uncia (snow leopard), 614 nucleotides. RefSeq lists it as uncharacterized. The record is from RefSeq and is a predicted model, not a curated record. The transcript has 4 exons. Lineage: Eukaryota; Metazoa; Chordata; Mammalia; Carnivora; Felidae.